This 701-nucleotide ribosomal RNA is filed under the name uncultured bacterium. Its description in RNAcentral is "bacterial SSU rRNA". It matches the Rfam family "Bacterial small subunit ribosomal RNA", at positions 101 to 837 of the family's 1533-position model. The record is from RNAcentral.
AACGGGUGAGUAUAAUGUGGGUAUCUGCCUUUUGGUUUGGAAUAACACGAGGAAACUUGUGCUAAUACCGGAUAAGCCUUUACAGGGAAAGUUUUAACGCCAAAAGAUGAGCCCACACUUGAUUAGCUAGUUGGUAAGGUAAAAGCUUACCAAGGCUACGAUCAAUAGCUGAUCUGAGAGGAUGAUCAGCCACAUUGGGACUGAGACACGGCCCAAACUCCUACGGGAGGCAGCAGUGGGGAAUCUUGCACAAUGGGGGAAACCCUGAUGCAGCGAUGCCGCGUGAGUGAAGAAGGCCUUUGGGUUGUAAAGCUCUUUCGUCGGGGAAGAAAAUGACUGUACCCGAAUAAGAAGGUCCGGCUAACUUCGUGCCAGCAGCCGCGGUAAUACGAAGGGACCUAGCGUAGUUCGGAAUUACUGGGCUUAAAGAGCUCGUAGGUGGUUAGAAAAGUUGGUGGUGAAAUCCCAAGGCUUAACCUUGGAACUGCCAUCAAAACUUUUUAACUAGAGUAUGAUAGAGGUAAGUGGAAUUUCUAGUGUAGAGGUGAAAUUCGUAGAUAUUAGAAAGAACACCGAUUGCGAAGGCAACUUUCUGGAUCAUUACUGACACUGAGGAGCGAAAGCAUGGGUAGCGAAGAGGAUUAGAUACCCUCGUAGUCCAUGCCGUAAACGAUGUGUGCUAGACGUUGGAAAUUUAUUUG